This 440-nucleotide ribosomal RNA is filed under the name uncultured bacterium. RNAcentral describes it as "partial 16S ribosomal RNA". It matches the Rfam family "Bacterial small subunit ribosomal RNA", at positions 338 to 795 of the family's 1533-position model. The record is from RNAcentral.
CCUACGGGAGGCAGCAGUGGGGAAUCUUGCACAAUGGGGGAAACCCUGAUGCAGCGACGCCGCGUGAGUGAAGAAGUAUCUCGGUACGUAAAGCUCUAUCAGCAGGGAAGAAAAUGACGGUACCUGACUAAGAAGCCCCUGCUAACUACGUGCCAGCAGCCGCGGUAAUACGUAGGGGGCAAGCGUUCUCCGGAUUUACUGGGUGUAAAGGGAGCGUAGACGGCAGAACAAGUCUGGAGUGAAAUCCCGGGGCUUAACCCGGGAACUGCUUUGGAAACUGUGCGGCUGGAGUGCAGGAGGGGUGAGUGGAACUCCUAGUGUAGCGGUGGAAUGCGUAGAUAUUAGGAGGAACACCAGUGGCGAAGGCGGCUUACUGGACUGUAACUGACGUUGAGGCUCGAAAGCGUGGGGAGCAAACAGGAUUAGAUACCCCGGUAGUC